RNAcentral lists this ribosomal RNA (253 nucleotides) under uncultured bacterium. Its description in RNAcentral is "partial 16S ribosomal RNA". It matches the Rfam family "Bacterial small subunit ribosomal RNA", at positions 524 to 776 of the family's 1533-position model. The record is from RNAcentral.
UACGUAGGGUGCGAGCGUUGUCCGGAAUUAUUGGGCGUAAAGAGCUUGUAGGUGGUUUGUCGCGUCUGCUGUGAAAAUCCGGGGCUCAACCCCGGACUUGCAGUGGGUACGGGCAGACUAGAGUGUGGUAGGGGAGACUGGAAUUCCUGGUGUAGCGGUGAAAUGCGCAGAUAUCAGGAGGAACACCGGUGGCGAAGGCGGGUCUCUGGGCCGAUACUGACGCUGAGGAGCGAAAGCGUGGGGAGCGAACAGG